Molecule: ribosomal RNA, 432 nt
Filed under: Cryptosporidium meleagridis
Lineage: Eukaryota; Apicomplexa; Conoidasida; Eucoccidiorida; Cryptosporidiidae
Description: SSU rRNA
Rfam family: Eukaryotic small subunit ribosomal RNA
Source: RNAcentral
CUCGUAGUUGGAUUUCUGUUAAUAAUUUAUAUAUAAUAUUUGAUUAAUAUUUAUAUAAUAUUAACAUAAUUCAUAUUACUAAAUUUAUUAGUAUAUGAAAUUUUACUUUGAGAAAAUUAGAGUGCUUAAAGCAGGCAUAUGCCUUGAAUACUCCAGCAUGGAAUAAUAUUAAAGAUUUUUAUCUUUCUUAUUGGUUCUAAGAUAAAAAUAAUGAUUAAUAGGGACAGUUGGGGGCAUUUGUAUUUAACAGUCAGAGGUGAAAUUCUUAGAUUUGUUAAAGACAAACUAAUGCGAAAGCAUUUGCCAAGGAUGUUUUCAUUAAUCAAGAACGAAAGUUAGGGGAUCGAAGACGAUCAGAUACCGUCGUAGUCUUAACCAUAAACUAUGCCAACUAGAGAUUGGAGGUUGUUCCUUACUCCUUCAGCACCUUAA